GUAGUCCACGCCGUAAACGAUGAGUGCUAAGUGUUGGAGGGUUUCCGCCCUUCAGUGCUGCAGCAAACGCAUUAAGCACUCCGCCUGGGGAGUACGACCGCAAGGUUGAAACUCAAAGGAAUUGACGGGGGCCCGCACAAGCGGUGGAGCAUGUGGUUUAAUUCGAAGCAACGCGAAGAACCUUACCAGGUCUUGACAUCCUUUGACCACUCUAGAGAUAGAGCUUCCCCUUCGGGGGCAAAGUGACAGGUGGUGCAUGGUUGUCGUCAGCUCGUGUCGUGAGAUGUUGGGUUAAGUCCCGCAACGAGCGCAACCCUUAUUGUUAGUUGCCAUCAUUUAGUUGGGCACUCUAGCGAGACUGCCGGUGACAAACCGGAGGAAGGUGGGGAUGACGUCAAAUCAUCAUGCCCCUUAUGACCUGGGCUACACACGUGCUACAAUGGGAAGUAUAACGAGUUGCGAAGUCGCGAGGCUAAGCUAAUCUCUUAAAGCUUCUCUCAGUUCGGAUUGUAGGCUGCAACUCGCCUACAUGAAGCCGGAAUCGCUAGUAAUCGCGGAUCAGCACGCCGCGGUGAAUACGUUCCCGGGCCUUGUACACACCGCCCGUCACACCACGAGAGUUUGUAACACCCGAAGUCGGUGAGGUAACCUUUUUGGAGCCAGCCGCCUAAGGUGGGA
This 678-nucleotide ribosomal RNA is filed under the name Enterococcus casseliflavus. RNAcentral's name for it is "bacterial SSU rRNA". It matches the Rfam family "Bacterial small subunit ribosomal RNA", at positions 790 to 1467 of the family's 1533-position model. The record is from RNAcentral. Lineage: Bacteria; Bacillati; Bacillota; Bacilli; Lactobacillales; Enterococcaceae.